ACUUGUUCUUUAAAUGAGGACUAGUAUGAAUGGCAUCACGAGGGUUACACUGUCUCCCACCUCUAAUCAGUGAAACUGAUCUCCCCGUGAAGAAGCGGGGAUAAGAAUAUAAGACGAGAAGACCCCAUGGAGCUUUAAACUCAGUAUCAACCACCAAGAUCUAUAACAUAAAAAUAGGGGGCCCUGAUUACUAGUUUUUGGUUGGGGUGACCGCGGAGUAAAAUGAAACCUCCACAAUGAAUGACACCUCCCAUCUUAUCCAAGAGCCUACAACUCUAAGAAUCAAUAAAUUGACAUCUAUUGACCCAAACAAUUUUGACCAACGAACCAAGUUACCCUGGGGAUAACAGCGCAAUCCAUUUCAAGAGCCCCUAUCGACAAAUGG
RNAcentral lists this ribosomal RNA (385 nucleotides) under Dermatonotus muelleri (Mueller's termite frog). RNAcentral's name for it is "partial 16S ribosomal RNA". It matches the Rfam family "Bacterial large subunit ribosomal RNA", at positions 1967 to 2515 of the family's 2925-position model. The record is from RNAcentral. Lineage: Eukaryota; Metazoa; Chordata; Amphibia; Anura; Microhylidae.